GUGUUUGCUUGGGCAGCACAUGUACUAAAAUUGGAACAAUACAGAGAAGAUUAGCCUGGCCCCUGCACAAGGAAAGAAAUCUUGAAUAAACACUACCCCCACCCUCUU
Talpa occidentalis (Iberian mole) is the source of this 108-nucleotide small nuclear RNA. NCBI's taxonomy places the organism in Eukaryota, Metazoa, Chordata, Mammalia, Eulipotyphla, Talpidae. The record is from RefSeq and is a predicted model, not a curated record.